GAUGCCUCCGCAGUCCUGGAGCACUACCAAGAUUGACAAUAAAGGGAUCAAGUGGGCGAGCAGCAAUUCUCACACUGGCCUUGAAGGAUGUGACCUAGUGGCAGUCAUCCAAAAUGAGGAUUUUCACACUCGACCAGCCUGGUGUGAGGAAAACCAUGGGGCCUUUCAUCUCACAGCACCAUGACUGGAGCCAACAAACCCCUGAAACACCUCCCCAGGAGAGAGUCCUCACCACGUGCUGGAGGCUGCGGCAUGGACAGCUGCAGCUCCCUUUCAAAGCUGUGCAAUGAGGAACAUAGGAUCUGUGGGGCUCAAGAGAGGCAGGACAUCAGAUGAUGAGCUACCACGACUUAAUGACUCCUCACACAUCUACCUGACCGCAUAGUGUGCUUGUUGUAUCACAAAUGCUGCCUAAAAUGUGUAAAUUUAACCCUGUUUCAAAGAGCUUGGGCUCAACGCGUUUCCCCGGCGCUGGUGAGGGGCUGGCAGUGAAGAGGAGUUGAGUCUGCAUUUAUCGCCG
Molecule: long non-coding RNA, 520 nt
Filed under: Calidris pugnax (ruff)
Lineage: Eukaryota; Metazoa; Chordata; Aves; Charadriiformes; Scolopacidae
Description: lncRNA (ENSCPUG00000018333.1)
Source: RNAcentral